Molecule: ribosomal RNA, 1343 nt
Filed under: uncultured bacterium
Lineage: Bacteria
Description: bacterial SSU rRNA
Rfam family: Bacterial small subunit ribosomal RNA
Source: RNAcentral
GUCGAACGGCAGCACGAGAGAGCUUUGCUCUCUUGGUGGCGAGUGGCGGACGGGUGAGUAAUAUAUCGGAACGUGCCCAGUAGCGGGGGAUAACUACUCGAAAGAGUGGCUAAUACCGCAUACGCCCUACGGGGGAAAGGGGGGGAUCGCAAGACCUCUCACUAUUGGAGCGGCCGAUAUCGGAUUAGCUAGUUGGUGGGGUAAAGGCUCACCAAGGCAACGAUCCGUAGCUGGUUUGAGAGGACGACCAGCCACACUGGGACUGAGACACGGCCCAGACUCCUACGGGAGGCAGCAGUGGGGAAUUUUGGACAAUGGGGGAAACCCUGAUCCAGCCAUCCCGCGUGUAUGAUGAAGGCCUUCGGGUUGUAAAGUACUUUUGGCAGAGAAGAAAAGGCAUCCCCUAAUACGGGAUGCUGCUGACGGUAUCUGCAGAAUAAGCACCGGCUAACUACGUGCCAGCAGCCGCGGUAAUACGUAGGGUGCAAGCGUUAAUCGGAAUUACUGGGCGUAAAGCGUGUGUAGGCGGUUCGGAAAGAAAGAUGUGAAAUCCCAGGGCUCAACCUUGGAACUGCAUUUUUAACUGCCGAGCUAGAGUAUGUCAGAGGGGGGUAGAAUUCCACGUGCAGCAGUGAAAUGCGUAGAUAUGUGGAGGAAUACCGAUGGCGAAGGCAGCCCCCUGGGAUAAUACUGACGCUCAGACACGAAAGCAUGGGGAGCAAACAGGAUUAGAUACCCUGGUAGUCCACGCCCUAAACCCUUAAAGGAGCUGUUGGGGCCGUUAGGCCUUAGUAGCGCAGCUAACGCGUGAAGUUGACCGCCUGGGGAGUACGGUCGCAAGAUUAAAACUCAAAGGAAUUGACGGGGACCCGCACAAGCGGUGGAUGAUGUGGAUUAAUUCGAUGCAACGCGAAAAACCUUACCUGCCCUUGACAUGUCUGGAAUGCCGAAGAGAUUUGGCAGUGCUCGCAAGAGAACCGGAACACAGGUGCUGCAUGGCUGUCGUCAGCUCGUGUCGUGAGAUGUUGGGUUAAGUCCCGCAACGAGCGCAACCCUUGUCAUUAGUUGCUACGCGAGAGCACUCUAAUGAGACUGCCGGUGACAAACCGGAGGAAGGUGGGGAUGACGUCAAGUCCUCAUGGCCCUUAUGGGUAGGGCUUCACACGUCAUACAAUGGUCGGGACAGAGGGUCGCCAACCCGCGAGGGGGAGCCAAUCUCAGAAACCCGAUCGUAGUCCGGAUCGCAGUCUGCAACUCGACUGCGUGAAGUCGGAAUCGCUAGUAAUCGCGGAUCAGAAUGUCGCGGUGAAUACGUUCCCGGGUCUUGCACUCACCGCCCGUCA